GACAGAGGUGCCGAGCGUUAGGCGGAAUCACUGGGCUUAAAGCGUGUGUAGGCGGACUUCUAAGUACCUUGUGAAAUCCCACGGCUCAACCGUGGAACUGCUUGGUAUACUGGUUGUCUUGAGCCACUUAGGGGCAGUCGGAACAGACGGUGGAGCGGUGAAAUGCGUAGAUAUCAGGAGGAACACCGGUGGCGAAGGCGGGUCUCUGGGCCGAUACUGACGCUGAGGAGCGAAAGCGUGGGGAGCGAACAGG
This 253-nucleotide ribosomal RNA is filed under the name uncultured bacterium. RNAcentral describes it as "partial 16S ribosomal RNA". It matches the Rfam family "Bacterial small subunit ribosomal RNA", at positions 524 to 776 of the family's 1533-position model. The record is from RNAcentral.